Molecule: ribosomal RNA, 460 nt
Filed under: uncultured bacterium
Lineage: Bacteria
Description: partial 16S ribosomal RNA
Rfam family: Bacterial small subunit ribosomal RNA
Source: RNAcentral
CCUACGGGAGGCAGCAGUGAGGAAUAUUGGUCAAUGGGCUUACGCCUGAACCAGCCAAGUCGCGUGAGGGAAGACUGCCCUAUGGGUUGUAAACCUCUUUUGUCAGGGAGCAAUUGGCGCUACGUGUAGCGUUAUCGAGAGUACCUGAAGAAAAAGCAUCGGCUAACUCCGUGCCAGCAGCCGCGGUAAUACGGAGGAUGCGAGCGUUAUCCGGAUUUAUUGGGUUUAAAGGGUGCGUAGGCGGAAUGCCAAGUCAGCGGGAAAAUCGCGGGGCUCAACCUCGCUCCGCCGUUGAAACUGGCGUUCUUGAGUGGGCGAGAAGUAUGCGGAAUGCGUGGUGUAGCGGUGAAAUGCAUAGAUAUCACGCAGAACUCCGAUUGCGAAGGCAGCAUACCGGCCCCCAACUGACGCUGAAGCACGAAAGCGUGGGUAUCGAACAGGAUUAGAUACCCGAGUAGUC